This is a long non-coding RNA of Homo sapiens (human), 335 nucleotides long. RefSeq lists it as uncharacterized. The record is from RefSeq and is a predicted model, not a curated record. The transcript has 3 exons. NCBI's taxonomy places the organism in Eukaryota, Metazoa, Chordata, Mammalia, Primates, Hominidae.
UGUAACAGGAGCUCAGGGGCACUUUUGUCAUGGAGAGAAUAUAUGCAGGGAGAUGGCUAAUGACCCACAGCUGGGAUCAUUGCUGCCUGCUCAGGACUUGAGUUACUGGAUGUCGGAGGCUUACAAAGUGCUCUUUCUGAACGAAAAGUGAUUUUUUGAAACUAAUAUCAACAAGAUCAGGACAACUGCAAUCACUUUACCCGACUUGUCAGUUUCCUAUUUAGAAAAUUCAGACUAUGGAGUGGAAUUGGCUCCUCAUGGGACCCAUGGUAAGUUUUUAAUUUUUGAAUUCACAAUCAGAUGAUUUGGUUAAAUUUUACAUCCUUGUGUAGCUC